Dermochelys coriacea (leatherback sea turtle) is the source of this 576-nucleotide long non-coding RNA. RefSeq lists it as uncharacterized. The record is from RefSeq and is a predicted model, not a curated record. The transcript has 3 exons. NCBI's taxonomy places the organism in Eukaryota, Metazoa, Chordata, Testudines, Dermochelyidae.
GAUUGUUUAAUCAGUUCCCUAACUGGCUAGCAAUGAUUUCAGUGAGGACGAGUCUGCCUGGAUUCUAACUGAAGAUUCCUACAAGCAAGAGGAGGGAAGAUGUUGCUUUUGACUCAGCAGACUGGAUAGAUUUGGUGAUCAAAGACUCUAACCAAGACUCAGCCCAAGUUUUAGUGUGCUUUAAGAGUAGCUGUGGAGACUACAAACUGCAUCAUGUUGGGAGAACAUCCUGGUAUCUGUAAGGAAGGCCCUCCCAGCAGGAAGUUUUCAGCACUGACUGAAGCUGCGAGCAUGAGGUUGGCAAGCAGAGAGGAGGCUGUUGGAGGGCAAUCCUGUUCUGUGUUUCUUUAAAGAAUAAAACCUUGUUCCUGGUUGUUUGUCGGAGUGGGUCUAGUCUGAGAUUCCUAGAUGGUUACUGGAACACCACUGGGUACUGUUGACAACUACUCCAGGGAGUACUACUCCACUGAACUUUAAUUAGUAGUGAAAUAUAACCACCAGUAAGUCAAACAGGACUACAGCUUGUUCUUGUAAAAUUUCAAAUCAAUGUCUCACAACUCCCGCUGAGUCAGUAAU